Molecule: ribosomal RNA, 302 nt
Filed under: uncultured bacterium
Lineage: Bacteria
Description: bacterial SSU rRNA
Rfam family: Bacterial small subunit ribosomal RNA
Source: RNAcentral
CGAACGCUGGCUUCAGGCUUAACAGAAGCAAGUCGAGCGCCGUAGCAAUACGGAGCGGCAGACGGGAUAUGUCCCACGUGGGAACGCGCCCUUCGGUUCGGAAUAACUCAGGGAAACUUGGGCUAAUACCGGAUACGCCCUUACGGGGAAAGAUUUAUUGCCGAAGGAACGGCCCGCGCCCGAUUAGCUUGUUGGUGAGGUAACGGAGUCACCAAGGCGACGAUCGGUAGCUGGUCUGAGAGGAUGACCAGCCUCACUGGGACUGAGACACGGCCCAGACUCCUACGGGAGGCAGCAGUGGG